UCAUUCUAUGACCCUGAAUUGCCUGUCAUAAUUCUCAAAUAAUUACGAUUUUGCUCCCCUCCCCCGUUUGAAAACUGAAAAUUUAAAAUUUCCCGAAAUACAAUCAAAGUAAAAGGCACAUGCACCACACACACGCGUAGGCCACGUACAGAGGGUUUUUUGCCCCGUCUAUGUGAUGCCUUUUAUACGAAAAAAAAAAACCGAUUGAGUCAAGCGACGGGAGCUUCUUCCUCUCGCGAGGCGACGGCGACGACCCAUGCUCCAAGGCAGAAGAGGCGAGCUCGGACCCGUUGUAUGAGCUCGUCCUCCCGAGGCGACGGCGCGGCAGGAUCCCGCGCGGAGAGCGCGCGCGUGGGAAAUUUCCCCAUGAAAUCUAGGUAGGAAGAAGAAGGGAAGCACACCUGAGGCCUCGGAUGCGGCGGCGGCAGCCCUAGCCUGUACCCUAGGUCGUGGUAUUGGACGGCUUCCCCAGUUAUUCAGCGUCCAUGGAUGGAUUUCCCUUCCCUCCACCUUUUGAUGCAUCCUACGGAGGUGGAUUCCCCAGCUCUUCAGCUUGGUUGGAUGCGUCCGGUGGCGAUGAAUCUUCUCCUGGAUCAUGCUCACAAGUUUUAUGUGGAUGACAAUAAAGAGGCAAAGCUAGGACCCUUUGUGCUGAUGGAGGUUUGGAACAUAUGCCGAGAAGUGUCAAAGUGGAAAACAUACAAGAAAACCUAGGGAAUGCACGUAAAAGGAAAUCAUUUCACUUGGAAGGAGACUCUGAAGAAGCUGAUGAUACUUUUGAUGAGAUGCCAAAGCGACCAAUGGGUCUGAAGGCCGCUAAAAAGGCAACUCUAGAUGCAAAAAUCAAGUCAAAUGGUUCGGGCAGUAGUGAUGAUGGUCACUCAAAGGAGUCUCCAAUUCUGUUAGACAAAUUCGAUAGAUAUAGCAAAUUCCAGGAGGAAAACAAUGACAAGCACAUGAAACUAUUGGAUAGACAGAUAGACAGGAAAAGAUAUCUUCUGAGAAGCCAGAGGCCACAAAAAUUGCCCACCUUAUAGCACAAGAUUACAAAGAAGGAAAGAAGCUUGAGAAAGAGUUAAAGAUGAUGGAGACUUAUAACAGCCUCAUCUCACAAGAUACAAGUUCAAUGUCUGAUGAAGAAAAGGCACAGCGAGUUAGUAUGAUGAAGUGCCUUAUGAAAAUUCUUUUCCCUGAAUCUGAUUCAACAGAUAUGUCAACUUUGCAAGUGGAGGCUACUAUCUCUGCCUAUCUGGUGAAUGCCAAACUAUAUUGCUGUUUUUUCUUAUCCUAAACCAACUUUUCCACUUUUUCUAUCCUAAAAUCUGGCUAUUGGCAAGUUAUGUUUAAUCUUUCAGCAGGUUCAGUGUAUGUCUCAGUUUAUAUAAUUUUUGUUCAUGCUCAAUCCACUAAGCCUAUUUUGGUGCUUGUUCAGUGAUACACUAUACUACUGAUAUGGAGUAUAUAUAAUCUAGGGAAAAAGAUGAACAUAUACUUUGAUGAGAAUCUGCAAAUGAUCAGAAAGGGGAAAUUUAGGAAAUAAAUUUAGAGCUUGAUCAUUGGAGGUAUAUACUGGGAGCUAAAUAUUGAUUUGAUUGUGGUCAUGGCUGGGAGGUAUACAUCCUGGGAGAUAUAUACAUCCUAUGAGGUCAGUUGGAAUGCCGAGAGGUCUCAUUCAGUUUCAGUUUCUGAAUUAAUGUGAAUGUGAUUUGUAAAUGCGAAUGUGCCCUUCAGUUUCUGUUGGAAUGUGAAUGUGCAUGCUCCAGUUUCAGUUGCUGCAAUGUGAAUGUGCAUGCUUCAGUUUCA
Long non-coding RNA from Oryza brachyantha (malo sina), 1803 nucleotides. RefSeq lists it as uncharacterized. The record is from RefSeq and is a predicted model, not a curated record. NCBI's taxonomy places the organism in Eukaryota, Viridiplantae, Streptophyta, Magnoliopsida, Poales, Poaceae. The transcript has 4 exons.